UACGUAGGGGGCUAGCGUUGUCCGGAAUCAUUGGGCGUAAAGAGCGUGUAGGCGGUCCGGUAAGUCCGCUGUGAAAGUCGGGGGCUCAACCCUCGAAUGCCGGUGGAUACUGUCGGGCUAGAGUACGGAAGAGGCGAGUGGAAUUCCUGGUGUAGCGGUGAAAUGCGCAGAUAUCGGGAGGAACACCAGUGGCGAAGGCGAGUCUCUGGGAUGAUGCUGACGCUGAGGCGCGAAAGCCAGGGGAGCAAACGGG
This 253-nucleotide ribosomal RNA is filed under the name uncultured bacterium. Its description in RNAcentral is "partial 16S ribosomal RNA". It matches the Rfam family "Bacterial small subunit ribosomal RNA", at positions 524 to 776 of the family's 1533-position model. The record is from RNAcentral.